This 86-nucleotide transfer RNA is filed under the name Puniceicoccales bacterium. Its description in RNAcentral is "tRNA-Ser". It matches the Rfam family "tRNA". Rfam says of the family: Transfer RNA (tRNA) molecules are approximately 80 nucleotides in length. Their secondary structure includes four short double-helical elements and three loops (D, anti-codon, and T loops). Lineage: Bacteria; Pseudomonadati; Verrucomicrobiota; Opitutia; Puniceicoccales. The record is from RNAcentral.
GGAGAGGUGACAGAGCGGCCGAUCGUGCGGCACUGGAAAUGCCGUGUACCCUUGUGGUACCGGGGGUUCGAAUCCCCCCCUCUCCG